Molecule: regulatory RNA element, 114 nt
Organism: Scleropages formosus (Asian bonytongue)
Lineage: Eukaryota; Metazoa; Chordata; Actinopteri; Osteoglossiformes; Osteoglossidae
Rfam family: Potassium channel RNA editing signal
About the family: This family represents a group of sequences related to the human potassium channel Kv1.1 hairpin element which directs the efficient modification of an adenosine to inosine by an adenosine deaminase acting on RNA (ADAR).
Source: Rfam
GUGGGCUACGGAGACAUGCAUCCCGUUACCAUAGGGGGCAAAAUCGUGGGGUCCCUGUGCGCCAUCGCUGGAGUGUUAACUAUCGCCCUGCCGGUGCCGGUCAUCGUGUCCAAC